CCUACGGGUGGCAGCAGUGGGGAAUAUGGGGCAAUGGGCGCAAGCCUGACCCAGCAACGCAGCGUGAAGGAAGAAGGCUGUCGGGUUGUAAACUUCUGGUCUCAGGGACGAAGAAAGUGACGGUACCUGAGGAAUAAGCCACGGCUAACUACGCGCCAGCAGCCGCGGUAAUACGUAGGGGGCAAGCGUUAUCCGGAUUUAUUGGGUGUACAGGGCGGGUAGGCGGGAGCGCAAGUCAGAUGUGAAAACUCAUGGCUCAACCCUGAGCCUGCAUUGGAAACUGUGUUUCUUGAGUGCUGGAGAGCCAAUCGGAAUUCCGUGUGUAGCGGUGAAAUGCGUAGCUAUACGGAGGAACCCCAGUGGCGAAGGCGGAUUGCUGGACAGUAACUGCCGCUGAGGCGCGAAAGCGUGGGGAGCAAACAGGAUUAGAUACCCCGGUAGUC
RNAcentral lists this ribosomal RNA (443 nucleotides) under uncultured bacterium. Its description in RNAcentral is "partial 16S ribosomal RNA". It matches the Rfam family "Bacterial small subunit ribosomal RNA", at positions 338 to 795 of the family's 1533-position model. The record is from RNAcentral.